Molecule: ribosomal RNA, 253 nt
Filed under: uncultured bacterium
Lineage: Bacteria
Description: partial 16S ribosomal RNA
Rfam family: Bacterial small subunit ribosomal RNA
Source: RNAcentral
UACGUAGGGUGCAAGCGUUAAUCGGAAUUACUGGGCGUAAAGCGUGCGCAGGCGGUUGUGUAAGACAGAUGUGAAAUCCCCGGGCUUAACCUGGGAACUGCAUUUGUGACUGCAUGGCUGGAGUGCGGCAGAGGGGGAUGGAAUUCCGCGUGUAGCAGUGAAAUGCGUAGAUAUGCGGAGGAACACCGAUGGCGAAGGCAAUCCCCUGGGCCUGCACUGACGCUCAUGCACGAAAGCGUGGGGAGCAAACAGG